AUCGAUUCGACUAGUCUGUAUAGUAUGUGGCAAUCUGGCCGAUCGAAAGAAGUGUAAAGCAACACGAAAUGCGUGUACCAAUUGUUAAUUGCUGAAGAAGAAUUAAUCCUGCAAAAACCCAAAUGAGUUGCAUGGACGUAAUUCCGGUUGUGGGUCAUGCUAAAUCGCUGUUUUAUUACUUUCAAGGCCAGAAUAAUUUGGCAGCAGAAGCAUUCAAACGUUCAACACAUAAUACAGGAGCAUUAUGUUUUGGUGUUAUUGGAGAUUCCCUGAUAGGUCCUCCAGGAACCUUCAUUGGGGGUAUUUCCGGAGGUUUAGCUAGUGAUGCAGUAAUCAGUGCACUGAGUUUACAGUGCUACGGGUAUAUGAUAUACGCAAAAAGAGUGUUGAAUUGGAAUAUGAUGCUAGAGGAUUGGGACGGUUUAGUACGUUUAGCAAUAAAGGAUGGACUACUUGGAUUAGCAGGCUUUAUCAUGUGUAACUGUACAGGCAUAAAUAUAAACCAUGACGGUUGUUCUUUUUACUGUGAGUGAUAUAUUGAUGUCUCGAGUUGAUGCUGGUGUGAUAAUAACUAAAGCUUUGUGAUAUUCUCUAUUCAUUAUACAUAGUUAUAAUAUAGAAUACUAAAAUCAUUACAAACCCUGAUUAAAAUGCCACCUACAGUGUGUUAAAACAUUUUAUUCAUUUAAAAGAAAUCGAGUGUUGUUGUCAAGUAGGGUUUUACUGUACAAUUUUCAUCAAAAAUAUUAAAGUUUUAUGUCCUUCA
Mytilus californianus (California mussel) is the source of this 766-nucleotide long non-coding RNA. RefSeq lists it as uncharacterized. The record is from RefSeq and is a predicted model, not a curated record. The transcript is spliced from 2 exons. NCBI's taxonomy places the organism in Eukaryota, Metazoa, Mollusca, Bivalvia, Mytilida, Mytilidae.